RNAcentral lists this ribosomal RNA (253 nucleotides) under uncultured bacterium. RNAcentral describes it as "partial 16S ribosomal RNA". It matches the Rfam family "Bacterial small subunit ribosomal RNA", at positions 524 to 776 of the family's 1533-position model. The record is from RNAcentral.
UACGUAGGGGGCAAGCGUUGUCCGGAAUCAUUGGGCGUAAAGCGCGUGUAGGCGGUCCGAUCAGUCGGCUGUGAAAGUCCAGGGCUCAACCCUGGGAUGCCGGUCGAUACUGUCGGACUAGAGUCCGGAAGAGGCGAGUGGAAUUCCCGGUGUAGCGGUGAAAUGCGCAGAUAUCGGGAGGAACACCAAUGGCGAAGGCAGCUCGCUGGGACGGUACUGACGCUGAGACGCGAAAGCGUGGGGAGCAAACGGG